UCGAGCGGAUGAAGGGAGCUUGCUCCUGGAUUCAGCGGCGGACGGGUGAGUAAUGCCUAGGAAUCUGCCUGGUAGUGGGGGAUAACGUCCGGAAACGGGCGCUAAUACCGCAUACGUCCUGAGGGAGAAAGUGGGGGAUCUUCGGACCUCACGCUAUCAGAUGAGCCUAGGUCGGAUUAGCUAGUUGGUGGGGUAAAGGCCUACCAAGGCGACGAUCCGUAACUGGUCUGAGAGGAUGAUCAGUCACACUGGAACUGAGACACGGUCCAGACUCCUACGGGAGGCAGCAGUGGGGAAUAUUGGACAAUGGGCGAAAGCCUGAUCCAGCCAUGCCGCGUGUGUGAAGAAGGUCUUCGGAUUGUAAAGCACUUUAAGUUGGGAGGAAGGGCAGUAAGUUAAUACCUUGCUGUUUUGACGUUACCAACAGAAUAAGCACCGGCUAACUUCGUGCCAGCAGCCGCGGUAAUACGAAGGGUGCAAGCGUUAAUCGGAAUUACUGGGCGUAAAGCGCGCGUAGGUGGUUCAGCAAGUUGGAUGUGAAAUCCCCGGGCUCAACCUGGGAACUGCAUCCAAAACUACUGAGCUAGAGUACGGUAGAGGGUGGUGGAAUUUCCUGUGUAGCGGUGAAAUGCGUAGAUAUAGGAAGGAACACCAGUGGCGAAGGCGACCACCUGGACUGAUACUGACACUGAGGUGCGAAAGCGUGGGGAGCAAACAGGAUUAGAUACCC
This 730-nucleotide ribosomal RNA is filed under the name uncultured bacterium. Its description in RNAcentral is "bacterial SSU rRNA". It matches the Rfam family "Bacterial small subunit ribosomal RNA", at positions 62 to 787 of the family's 1533-position model. The record is from RNAcentral.